RNAcentral lists this ribosomal RNA (112 nucleotides) under Acanthosepion pharaonis. The record is from RNAcentral. Lineage: Eukaryota; Metazoa; Mollusca; Cephalopoda; Sepiida; Sepiidae.
CCGGCCAUAUCACGUUGAAACACCGGUUCUCGUACGAUCACCGAAAUUAAGCAAUGUCGAGCCUGGUCAGUACCUAGAUGGGUGACCGCUUGGGAAUAUCAGAUGCUGUAAU